RNAcentral lists this ribosomal RNA (57 nucleotides) under uncultured Thelephoraceae. RNAcentral's name for it is "partial 28S ribosomal RNA". The record is from RNAcentral. Lineage: Eukaryota; Fungi; Basidiomycota; Agaricomycetes; Thelephorales; Thelephoraceae.
AUCUCAAAUCAGGGUAGGACUACCCGCUGAACUUAAGCAUAUCAAUAAGCGGAGGAA